Molecule: transfer RNA, 82 nt
Filed under: Fomitopsis schrenkii
Lineage: Eukaryota; Fungi; Basidiomycota; Agaricomycetes; Polyporales; Fomitopsidaceae
Description: tRNA-Leu (CAG) (tRNA-Leu-CAG-1-1)
Rfam family: tRNA
About the family: Transfer RNA (tRNA) molecules are approximately 80 nucleotides in length. Their secondary structure includes four short double-helical elements and three loops (D, anti-codon, and T loops).
Source: RNAcentral
GGCAAGAUGGCCGAGCGGUCUAAGGCGCUGGAAUCAGGAUCCAGUCCAGAAAUGGGCGCGAGUUCGAAUCUCGCUCUUGUCA